This 460-nucleotide ribosomal RNA is filed under the name uncultured bacterium. RNAcentral's name for it is "partial 16S ribosomal RNA". It matches the Rfam family "Bacterial small subunit ribosomal RNA", at positions 338 to 795 of the family's 1533-position model. The record is from RNAcentral.
CCUACGGGAGGCAGCAGUGAGGAAUAUUGGUCAAUGGGCGGGAGCCUGAACCAGCCAAGUCGCGUGAGGGAAGACGGUCCUACGGAUUGUAAACCUCUUUUGCCGGGGAGCAACGGGGUCCUUGCGAGGGCCCGAUGAGAGUACCCGGCGAAAAAGCAUCGGCUAACUCCGUGCCAGCAGCCGCGGUAAUACGAGGGAUGCGGGCGUUAUCCGGAUUUUUUGGGUUAAAGGGGUGCGUAGACGGGCUGUUAAUUCAGCGGUCAAAGGUCGGGGCUCAACCCCGGCCGGCCGUUGAGACUGGCGGCCUCGAGUGGGCGAGAGGUAUGCGGAAUGCGUGGUGUAGCGGUGAAAUGCAUAGAUAUCACGAAGAACUCCGAUUGCGAAGGCAGCAUACCGGCGCCCGACUGACGCUGAGGCACGAAAGCGUGGGUAUCGAACAGGAUUAGAUACCCUUGUAGUC